This 215-nucleotide long non-coding RNA is filed under the name Gossypium barbadense (sea-island cotton). Its description in RNAcentral is "long non-coding RNA (GBAR_LNC002173)". Lineage: Eukaryota; Viridiplantae; Streptophyta; Magnoliopsida; Malvales; Malvaceae. The record is from RNAcentral.
CCGAGGCUCAACUCACUUCUCGCAAUAUGAGUUGAUUUUGAAAACAAAAAUUAAAAAUACCUCAACGUUUCUUGAGGCUCAACUCAUCUCUCGCAAUAUGAGUUGAUUUCCCUUGAAAAGCAUGAAUUAAAAACAUCAAAAUACCAAAACCUGUCCUUUGGUAGAACUCGGGUGUCUUUUCCUUUGAUUCAGUGCGACUCUCAUUCAAGAUUUCU